UACGGAGGGGGCUAGCGUUGUUCGGAAUUACUGGGCGUAAAGCGCACGUAGGCGGCGUGUUUAGUCAGGGGUGAAAGGCCCGGGCUCAACCCGGGAACGGCCUUUGAUACUGGCACGCUUGAGUCCGAGAGGGGGUGGUGGAACUCCCAGUGUAGAGGUGAAAUUCGUAGAUAUUGGGAAGAACACCGGUGGCGAAGGCGACCACCUGGCUCGGAACUGACGCUGAGGUGCGAAAGCGUGGGGAGCAAAC
RNAcentral lists this ribosomal RNA (250 nucleotides) under uncultured bacterium. Its description in RNAcentral is "partial 16S ribosomal RNA". It matches the Rfam family "Bacterial small subunit ribosomal RNA", at positions 524 to 773 of the family's 1533-position model. The record is from RNAcentral.